UUGAAUGUGAGUUUGAUAAAUGAGUGAGAGACUGUUUAUAUAUCCAAUUAGGAUUGAAUGGAUUAGGGAAUUAUGUUGAAAAAUCAGUUAGGGUGUGUAACUGAAUUUGUGAAUUCGAGGUGGAUUAGUUAUUUUCUAUUAUGGGAUUGUAACUGACUUGUGAAGUUAGUUUGUUUAGUUAUAACUGAUUGGUGAAAUGUAACUGAAAAAUUG
RNAcentral lists this long non-coding RNA (213 nucleotides) under Lathyrus oleraceus (garden pea). Its description in RNAcentral is "Pisum sativum (pea) long non-coding RNA (PSAT_LNC000943)". Lineage: Eukaryota; Viridiplantae; Streptophyta; Magnoliopsida; Fabales; Fabaceae. The record is from RNAcentral.